GAAGAUAAAGUAUUAUUAGUCUGAGAAGAUUCAAUUGUGAUAGCCGCUAUUUAUAGUUAUGGUAGUUGAAUUAUGGUAGUUGGUGGUUGAACUCUGUUUAUGGCUGUAUAUAUUAUUAUUGAAAUUACUUGGGUGUUUAAUUAAUAAUUAUGAGGAAGAUUAAAAUA
Long non-coding RNA from Perognathus longimembris pacificus (Pacific pocket mouse), 167 nucleotides. RefSeq lists it as uncharacterized. The transcript has 3 exons. The record is from RefSeq and is a predicted model, not a curated record. NCBI's taxonomy places the organism in Eukaryota, Metazoa, Chordata, Mammalia, Rodentia, Heteromyidae.